ACCAGCCGGCAAUAUGGCUAUCAGCCGGGCGUGUCUGUAGUAUACUAUAGUAUACUACAGACACGCCCGGCUGAUAGCCGUAUUGCGGCUGGUAGCC
RNAcentral lists this microRNA precursor (97 nucleotides) under Paramuricea clavata. Lineage: Eukaryota; Metazoa; Cnidaria; Anthozoa; Malacalcyonacea; Plexauridae. The record is from RNAcentral.